CUAGUAGAUGCAUCAUUCAUCCAAAAAAUCAAACGUACGAAAACAUACCUAAACUCUUAGAUCAUAUUCUACAGGCCUACGUCAACACAAUUAAACUCGUUACGGGCUAGUGAUGGGCGCCUGCCCGAAAACUCCCCCUUAUAAACAGUAUACGCCGACUACGAGAUUGUAGCAUGACGAGGAUCAAACGGGAUACGGCAGCGCACUUUCUUCUUGAUCAUACCUCUCCCUUUUGAUCUCUCUCAGGCACGCACUACGCUGUCUUCGUUGCUCUCCCUCUUAAAACGCACACACCUCGCCCCCUCGUCCCCUCGCGUAACGCAUGCCUCCUCCUCUCCUCCCGCGCAUGCCAUGCCUCGCCACCUACCAUAAAGCCCCAUUGCCGGCACAAGCGGCCCCGUCCCAGCGGUGAACGGCCCGGCGGCGCGCGGUGAGGCGGGCUUAUACAAUUACGGACAAAUCGGAGAGGGCGCGUGAUAUAUAGGAGAGUACUAGGAGUAGAGGCCGAUGUUAAUCAUCAUUGGCGAGGGGGCGUUAUGGACGGUAGAGAGGAGGAGGUGGUAGCUAGGUGAGACUGGAGACGAGCUGGUCUAGUUAGCUAGAAGGAGAAGAACCAGCCAAAGAAGUAGGAGACACUGCUUCCACGACAGCAGCAGCUAGCUAACUAAAUAACUAGCUAGCUCACGAGGUUGUUGACCAGUUAUCGACCCUAGUAUCCAGCAGACGAGUCAACGUAGCGGUAGCGGAAGUUAAGGUGAGCAAAAGUUCGAGGGCAGCGGGGGCAACUAGCCUAGUUUCCCUAACCCUAAUUGGAUUGGAUUGGAUUGGAGCGCUGGUUUAAGGGGAGGGGUGAACUGCAACCAGGUGGCCGACUAAGGAACACAGGCAGUGUUGUUUCCUAAAGAAGAAGAGACGUGGAGCAUAGAUAGGAUGUAUCGCGCAGGUGCGCCCGAGCCACCGCCAAGCGCAUGCACUAGGAGCCCUCUUAACUGUCAACACUAUCGCGCGCGCACCCGCACCCGCACCCGCUAGCUGCGCUGGCGCCGUCGUACCCCCGGCCGUUGGUGAGCGGCAGCAGGCGCUUCUGGAGUGGAGCGCCGAGACCGCAUCCGCCGCCUCCGCUCGUCAUAAGGGGCAGCUGGUUCAGAGGCGCGCGGCCGCGGCCGCCGCCUCCGCCUCCGCUCGUGAUGAGGCGCAGCUCGUUCAGGGGCGCGCGGCCGGAGCCGCCGCAGAGGAGGAACGACGGCUCGCCGCCGCACAGCAGGGACGACGGCUCGCCGCGGCACCGCUGCGACGAGCUCUCGUCCACCUGCGAGAGCCCGCGGUAGUGGCACAAGGACAAGGAGCGGCAGUGCGAGUGGCACUGCUGCAGCAGCAGCAGCGACAGGGGGCAGAGCCGGUGGAAGAAGAGGAAGGAGGGCCGGCCGGCGCGGCUGGAGCAGGUCGGCGGCGUUCAGGUCGUCGUCGGCGUCCGGGGCCGCUGGGGCGGCGGCGGAGGCGGGCCGCGGCCGCACGGCGCCGACCGCAUGGAGUAGAGGCCCAGGUUCCCGCUGGACCUGGCCGACACCGCGUGCGACGUGCGCGAGAUGGUGGGCGCGUUGGACAUGCACCACGUGGACCUGGCGCUCCGCGGGCACCCGCUCGCCGACCUCGACCGCCGCGCCCACCGGUUGUCGUGGCACAAGGCGGCGCAGCCGUUGCACCUCCACUAGGCCGCGCGGUUGUACCACUGGAUGGCGCCCGGCUGGUACCACCGGUUGUGGGACGUGCGGACGCGGCACGAGGAGGCGGCGUCGGCGCUGACCCUGACCAAGUAGUUGGAGAGGCGGAGGCUGAUGGGAGAGUACAGGGUCCUGCUACAGGACGUGCAUAAGAGCUGCGACGGCGCGUUGCAGUUGAAGCAGCUCGUGUGGUCGGCGGAGCCGACCUUCCUCCCCGUCGCGCCCGUCGGCGACUAGCACCUGGGCCCCGACAUGCGCAGCUUCUUCGUCCUGUAGAAGAUGCGCAGGCCGGCCGCCCUCGACGGCUGCCGCAAGUCCGACAUGUGCCCCAGCCGCACCCACCGCGACUGCGCCCUGAAGCGGCUCAUGCACCACACCCCCACCCUGUUGGACGGCGCGUGGUACGAGUACAUGAUGCGGUUGAAGCACAGCAGCGGCCUCCCGAUGAAGGUCUGCCACGAGACGUUGCGCGGGGCCAAGCACGGGUGGCACCGGUUGGUGCUGGAGGUGGUGUAGGUCACCCUGCACGGCGGCGCGGUCGUGGGCGUGCGCGAGUGCGAGCCCCUGUACCUGGCGUACCACGCGUCGCUGCGCGGGAAGCGGGCGUUCAAGCGCGCGCUGCUGGGGCACGAGCUGCGGUAGCUGCGGGUCGACGAACCGCCGGCGCCGCCCUUGCCGUGCCGCCGCCCCUACAAGCACGCCCCCCCGACCACGCCGCUCUCGCCCCUGACGCUCCCGCGGCGGCCGCGGCUCCUGACCCACGAGUCCGGCCCCGGGCCGCGGCUCUCCGACGCGUCCGAGUACCUGGCCUAGCAGUCCAGCCUCCGCAAGCGAUUGGCGGUCACGUUCAUCGAUUCGAGCCGAACUCUGUACCAGCCAGCACGCACGUUCGGUCACGAAUGAGACCAAACGACCACAUACCUGAGCCCUCCUCCUUUUACAAAAUUGAGUAGGUAGUUGGUAGGUACUCUACUCGAGUACGACAAGAAGAACAGUAUAAAGUAAUCUUAUCUUUCCACCAAAUUACACC
RNAcentral lists this ribosomal RNA (2751 nucleotides) under Triticum aestivum (bread wheat). RNAcentral describes it as "partial small subunit ribosomal RNA". Lineage: Eukaryota; Viridiplantae; Streptophyta; Magnoliopsida; Poales; Poaceae. The record is from RNAcentral.